This 292-nucleotide ribosomal RNA is filed under the name uncultured bacterium. RNAcentral's name for it is "partial 16S ribosomal RNA". It matches the Rfam family "Bacterial small subunit ribosomal RNA", at positions 505 to 796 of the family's 1533-position model. The record is from RNAcentral.
GUGUCAGCCGCCGCGGUAAUACGAAGGUCCCAAGCGUUAUCCGGAUUUAUUGGGUUUAAAGGGUGCGUAGGCGGGUUAUUAAGUCAGUGGUGAAAGCUCUCAGCCUAACUGAGAAAUUGCCAUUGAUACUGAUGAUCUUGAGUACAUUUGAAGUGGGCGGAAUGUGUCAUGUAGUGGUGAAAUACUUAGAUAUGACACAGAACACCGAUUGCGUAGGCAGCUCGCUAAACUGUAACUGACGCUGAGGCACGAAAGCGUGGGGAGCAAACAGGAUUAGAUACCCCUGUAGUCC